UUUCCCUUCCAUCGACACGGUGCUCUAAGGCGUCGAGGGAAGUCCGGUGUAAAUCCGGCGCGGUCCCGCCACUGUGAUGGCGACGAAAGCCGCAAGUGACAGCCACUGUCCUGAGCGAAGACGAAGGAUGGGAAGGCGCGGCGAGUAGGACAAAGCCUAAGCCAGGAGACCUGCCUAGAGCCAAUAAGCCGG
This 192-nucleotide non-coding RNA is filed under the name Deltaproteobacteria bacterium. The record is from RNAcentral. Lineage: Bacteria; Pseudomonadati; Myxococcota; Myxococcia.